UUUAGGGUCCAGCUUUCUGUGGGUGAUUCCCAGCAUGUUGCUGAGCAUGGAGGAAGCUUCCUGUCUGCUUGUUGGAUAAAUGAAUGAAUGAAUGAAUCUCACCAUGCAGUGUUGGAUAUGUUAUAUUGGCCAAGAGGAGCACGUUUGGUCGUCUGCAGUGCUGACGAGGUUGUGAAGACAUGGGGUUCUCAAACACGCUCAGCGGCCGCCUCCGGAUUUGUGCGAAUUGACCUAGAUUUCAUUUCAUUUGAUGGCAAUUUUACAUUAAAUACCAAUUUCACAA
This is a long non-coding RNA of Suricata suricatta (meerkat), 283 nucleotides long. RefSeq lists it as uncharacterized. The record is from RefSeq and is a predicted model, not a curated record. Lineage: Eukaryota; Metazoa; Chordata; Mammalia; Carnivora; Herpestidae. The transcript has 2 exons.